This 574-nucleotide ribosomal RNA is filed under the name Fazia hians. Its description in RNAcentral is "partial large subunit ribosomal RNA". Lineage: Eukaryota; Metazoa; Arthropoda; Insecta; Diptera; Syrphidae. The record is from RNAcentral.
AGUACGUGAAACUGCUUAGAGGUUAAGCCCGAUGAACCUGAAUAUCCAUUAUGGAAAAUUCAAUAUUAAGAAUAUAAUAUAAAUAAUAUUAUAAAAAUAGUAUGCAAUUUUUCCAUAUAAGGACAUUGUAAUCUGUUAAUGUUAUAAAUAUUUAUCAAAAGAUCUAAUACUUAAGUUUAUUUAAAUUGUUUAUUUUCGGAUAUUCAACAUAAAAUAAAUGUGUUAGAUUGGAUAAAUCAUUGACAGAUCGAAUUAUAUAUUGUGCAUAAAUUCUUCGGAAUUUUUCAGUAGUAGAUAAAUCUAUUGAUUUAUUUAUUGAUUGCAUGCAUAAUUAUGAUUGACAAUGCGAUAGAUUCAGGAUACCUUCGGGACCCGUCUUGAAACACGGACCAAGGAGUCUAACAUAUGUGCAAGUCAUUGGGUAUUUUUAAUAAAACCCAAUGGCAUAAUUAACUUAACUGUUAUUUAUAAUGAGAUUAAUUUAUAUUUUGUUAUGAUUUAUUUAUUCAAUCUCGGGGCGUUCUAUACAGUUAUGCAUAAUAAUAUUUAUAUUAUUUAUGCCUCUAACUAGAGC